AUUAAUAUUAAAUAAUAUAUAUAUAUAUAUAUAUAUAAAUAUUAAUUUAUUAAAAAUAUUUUUAAUAUAAAAAAUUUUAGUAAAUAAUUAAGAAAAAAAAAAUAUAUUUAUAAAUAAUUUAUUGUAAAAGAUUUUUUUUAUUAUUAAAAAAAUAAUAUUAUUUUAUGUACCUUUUGUAUCAGGAAUUAUUAAAAUAUAAAUUUAUAUAAAUUAAUUUCGAAAUAAAAUGAUCAAUUUAUUUAUAAUAAUUAAUAUAUUAUUAUUAUUAUUAAUUUAUAAAUAGUAAUUAAAUGUUAUUCGAAUUUUAUGAUAUCUAAUUUUUUUUUAAAUAAAUUUAAUUUAUAUAUUAAUUUAAAUAUUAUUUAUAAAAAUAAUAUUAAUUUAAUAUAAAAAAUUUUAGGGAUAAACUUAAAAUUUAUUUUAAUAUAAAUUUAAAUUUUAUAAAAUAUAAAAUUUAAAAUUUUUAUUAUUAAAUAAAAUGUAAUAAUUAAUUUAUUAAAUAUAAUAAUUUAAUAAAAAAUUUAAUAAUUAAAAAAAAAAAUUAUUUAAUAAUUUAAAUAAUUUUAUAAUGAUAAUAUUAGUAUAAUUUAAAAUAAAUAAUUUUUUUAUUUAAAGAUUAUUUUAAGGAAUUAGGCAAAAAUUUUAUUCAACUGUUUAUUAAAAACAUUGUUUAUUGAAUAUAAUAUUAAAUAAAAUCUGCUCAAUGAUUAUAUAUUAAAUAGCUGCAGUAAAUUAACUGUACUAAGGUAGCAUAAUAAUUUGAUUUUUUAAUAAAAUCUAGAAUGAAAGAUUUAAUGAAAUAAAAUCUGUCUCAAAAUAAAUAAUAUUAAAAUUUAUUUUUUUUGUAAAAAAACAAAAAUUUUAAUAAAAGACGAUAAGACCCUAUAGAAUUUUAUUAUUUAAUUAUUUAAUUUAUUAUAAAAUUUUAUUAAAUAUUUAAAUAAUUUUAUUGGGGUAAUAUAAAAAUUUAAUUAAUUUUUUAAUAAAAUUAAUCAUAAAUUUAUGAAUUAUUAUAAAAAUUUAUAAUAAAAUUAAAAUUAAUUACCUUAGGGAUAACAGCGUAAUAUUUUUUGUAAAGUUCAUAUUAAUAAAAAAGAUUGCGACCUCGAUGUUGAAUUAAGAUAAAUUUAAAUUGAAGAUAAUUUAAAAUUAAGUCUGUUCGACUUUUAAAAUCUUACAUGAUUUGAGUUAAAAUCGGUGUAAACCAGAUUGGAUUCUAUCUUUAUUUAAUUUAAUUAUAUUUGUACGAAAGGAAUUUAUAAUUUAAAUAA
RNAcentral lists this ribosomal RNA (1271 nucleotides) under Trichopria drosophilae. RNAcentral describes it as "16S ribosomal RNA". Lineage: Eukaryota; Metazoa; Arthropoda; Insecta; Hymenoptera; Diapriidae. The record is from RNAcentral.